UAGAAGAACAGGAAUUGAACCCGCACUUAAAGACUCAAAACCUUUUGUACUCCAUUAUACUAUCUCCUA
RNAcentral lists this transfer RNA (69 nucleotides) under Leiocephalus carinatus. RNAcentral describes it as "tRNA-Gln". The record is from RNAcentral. Lineage: Eukaryota; Metazoa; Chordata; Lepidosauria; Squamata; Leiocephalidae.